Molecule: long non-coding RNA, 382 nt
Filed under: Gallus gallus (chicken)
Lineage: Eukaryota; Metazoa; Chordata; Aves; Galliformes; Phasianidae
Description: lncRNA (ENSGALG00010006747.1)
Source: RNAcentral
CUCCACAGAAACAGAAACAUACAACAGAAAUUUAAGUGACAGGUCAAGAACAACUACGGAAAUAACGGAAAGAACGGAAAGAACGGAAAAUAGCCACCGAAAGACAUAAACAUACGGCAGAAAAUUAGGUGACAGGUCAAGAACAACAAUGGAAAGAACGGAAAGAACGGAAAGAACCUCCAGAGAGACAGAAACAUACGGCAAAAACUUAGGUGACAGGUCUAGAACAACAAAGGAAAUAACAGAAAAACCAAAAUAACGGAAAUAAUAAAGGAAAUAACAGAAAAAAAUAACUGAAAUAAUAACGGAAAUAAUGGAAAUAAUGGAAAUAUUGGAAAUAACGGAAAUAAACUUUACAGAGACAGAAACUUACGGCAGAAAA